UUAUUUAUAGAUGAAGAGCUCCGAACAGCGGCCUUUUGUUAUUUGGCUGAGUUUCUUGAUAUCUCUCAAGAAUGCCUGGUCAAUAAUGGGUGCACUGAUUUUUAUCUAGCAAAUAUUACUUCUGCAGAUCAUUCAGCAGAGGUUUAUGACUUACUUCUGCUUCCAUUGGACAGUGUCCUGUCUAAUCUAACAAACUUGGGAGAUAACAUAAGUGUGCUAUCUGCUUUGCACUGCACUUUUACAUGGCUUCAAAUGUGGACAGAGAUUUUUGAAGAAGCAUCUAAAAUCUUAAAUUUGAAUUCAACCUUUUUUGUGUGUCUAAGAAAUGAUUUGGCAAAUCUCUCCCAAAGUCUUCUAAAUGCAACUCAUGACCAGCUAUGCAAUAAUACAGCUAUAGAUAUUCUUGAGUCUACAAGAGAAGCAAUGAAGAUAUUAAAAGUUGUAUUUCAAGAAGGUGGUAAUUUAAAUGACUGGAAAGAUUUUGAGGCUUUCCUUGCUAGUCUUCAAAAUGUAUUUAACAAUGCAUUUGAUGUCACAAGCUUGCUUAAAGGCAACAGUUUAGAAAGUGUUUUAGAAAUGAUGGGAGUCGUGAUAACUGAAUUGCAGAAAUCUAUACUGAAGGUUGUUAAUGGAGAGUUUUUGAAUUCUUGGCUUGAUAUUUUUAUCUCAGGAGAAUCUGAGGGUGAAGAUAAGGGUGUGGGUGUAUUUUCCAUUGGAAAUUCCCUUUCUACUAUUCUCAAGCUCUCACAAAAGGAACUUGAAAUUAUUCUUACUGAGAUAAAUGACACAACUGCUUUUUUAAAAAGUGUACCUCGAGACAAAUAUAUAGUUUGUAUCAGCAUUUUCCAGAAUAUUACCAAACUAAUUUUGAACAGUGGUCUGAAAAACGUAAGCUAUUUGCAAACAAAUUUUUCACCUCAUCUUAAUUCCUUUCUAAACUUCUAUAGUACAGUGGAUGAAGCAGAGGAUUGUAACAGAUGGAUACAUGGAUUAAGUAAUCUCAGUGAAAAAUACAAGUCAUCUUCCCACCUUGAAAGUGCAAAACAUAUUUUAUUUCUUCUGCAAUCUCUGGG
This 1073-nucleotide long non-coding RNA is filed under the name Manacus vitellinus (golden-collared manakin). RNAcentral's name for it is "lncRNA (ENSMVIG00005004935.1)". The record is from RNAcentral. Lineage: Eukaryota; Metazoa; Chordata; Aves; Passeriformes; Pipridae.